This 253-nucleotide ribosomal RNA is filed under the name uncultured bacterium. RNAcentral's name for it is "partial 16S ribosomal RNA". It matches the Rfam family "Bacterial small subunit ribosomal RNA", at positions 524 to 776 of the family's 1533-position model. The record is from RNAcentral.
GACAGAGGGUGCAAACGUUGUUCGGAAUUACUGGGCGUAAAGCGCGUGUAGGCGGCUAAGUAAGUCGGGCGUGAAAUCCCACGGCUCAACCGUGGAAGUGCACUCGAAACUGCAUAGCUAGAGUCCUGGAGAGGAAGGUGGAAUGCUUGGUGUAGAGGUGAAAUUCGUAGAUAUCAAGCGGAACACCGGUGGCGAAGGCGGCCUUCUGGACAGUUCCUGACGCUGAGGCACGAAGGCCAGGGGAGCAAACGGG